This 498-nucleotide ribosomal RNA is filed under the name uncultured bacterium. RNAcentral describes it as "bacterial SSU rRNA". It matches the Rfam family "Bacterial small subunit ribosomal RNA", at positions 9 to 504 of the family's 1533-position model. The record is from RNAcentral.
GAGUUUGAUCCUGGCUCAGAUUGAACGCUAGCGGCAUGCUUUACACAUGCAAGUCGAACGGCAACGCGGGGUAACCUGGCGGCGAGUGGCGAACGGGUGAGUAAUACAUCGGAACGUGCCCUGUGAUGGGGGAUAACUACGCGAAAGCGUAGCUAAUACCGCAUACGACCUACGGGUGAAAGUGGGGGAUCGCAAGACCUCACGUCAUAGGAGCGGCCGAUGGCGGAUUAGCUAGUUGGUGAGGUAAAGGCUUACCAAGGCAACGAUCCGUAGCUGGUCUGAGAGGACGACCAGCCACACUGGGACUGAGACACGGCCCAGACUCCUACGGGAGGCAGCAGUGGGGAAUCUUGGACAAUGGGGGCAACCCUGAUCCAGCAAUGCCGCGUGUGGGAUGAAGGCCUUCGGGUUGUAAACCACUUUUGGCGGGGGCGAAAUAUCGAGUGCUAAUACCAUUCGGUGAUGACGGUACCCGCAGAAUAAGCACCGGCUAACUAC